AUGGCCCAUGCCUUCUUGUGUCCGAACCAAUCAGCUAAAGCAGUGGCCCUUCAGCUAUGGAACAACAUCUUCUGUGUGUAUGGUUUUCCUCGUUGUAUCCACUCUGACCAAGGGGCCAACUUUGAAAGUAAAUUGAUUGCUGAGUUGUUGAGUGCUGCAGGAGUCCAGAAGUCGCACACAACUCCCUACCAUCCGAUGGGGAACGGGGGAGUCGAAAGGUUCAAUAGAACGCUGGGAAACAUGAUCAGGGCUUUACCUACAAGAGCGAAGCACAGGUGGCCCCAGAAGCUGAAGUCGUUAACCUUCGCCUACAACUGUAUGGUCCCUGAAACCACGGGCUAUGCCCCUUUCCAGCUGAUGUUUGGGAGAACCCCGCGUUUGCCUGUCGACAUGAUGUUUGGUACUGUGCUGCAAGACUCAGAGGUUGUAGACUAUGACGAGUACAUAAAGUCCCUGACGAGAGACCUCAGGGAGGCCAUGGAGACGGUACAGGUGUCAGCAACCAAACAGCUGAAGAGGCAUGCAGGCCUCUACAACAGGAAGAUCAGAGGAGCUCCGGUGGAGGUCGGUGAUCGGGUGCUGCUGGCGAAUAAGGGUGAACGUGGAAAGAGGAAGCUGGCGGAUCGUUGGGAGAACAACCUCUAUAUUGUUACGGAGAAGAAUAGCGACAUCCACAUCUUCAAGAUACAGAACAUGUCGACUGGCCAGGAGAAAACGGUCCACCGUAAUCUGAUAAUGCCUGUAAACGUCUUGCCUCUACCUGACACUGCCUUGGAGACACCUAAUAUGGGAGACCAUGAGGAUCCGAGUGAGGAGAUGGAGGACUCAUCCAUGAACGAUAUACCAGAAAUGGACAUUGGUGAGAGGACUAGUGUGUGGGUAUCAGAACAGACCUCGGGGGAAGGACAGCCGGAGCACUCUGAAAAAGAAACCCCAGAUGUGCUGGAAGAUGGGCCACUGGCGAGGAACCCUCAGACCUCACCACAUUCUGAGGGUGCCGCUGGUGGCACAAGCGUGUCAGAGCUAACCUUUGGAGAAGAAAUGUCCGAACCCUCUGAAGAAGAAAGGCAUUCUGAAGAUGCCGCUGGUAGCACAAGCUCCAGCAACAGUCACAGAACCCUUGACCUUGACUAUCCACCGACUGUGGAAAGUGACCCACCAGUGGUGGUUGUAGGUGAACAGGUUAAACGUAAUAACUCUGUUAGGCCUGUCAGGUCAGGGGCUGAUCGGGUUAAGAAACGCCCAGUGAGACUCAUAGAGACUAUGCAGACACAGAGGGUUUUUCAUACAGAAUUCAUUAGAAUACCUGUGUGGGUGUAG
Molecule: long non-coding RNA, 1320 nt
Filed under: Salmo trutta (river trout)
Lineage: Eukaryota; Metazoa; Chordata; Actinopteri; Salmoniformes; Salmonidae
Description: lncRNA (ENSSTUG00000000049.1)
Source: RNAcentral